This 497-nucleotide ribosomal RNA is filed under the name uncultured bacterium. RNAcentral describes it as "partial 16S ribosomal RNA". It matches the Rfam family "Bacterial small subunit ribosomal RNA", at positions 28 to 507 of the family's 1533-position model. The record is from RNAcentral.
GAUGAACGCUGGCGGCGUGCCUAAUACAUGCAAGUCGAGCGAACGGACGAGAAGCUUGCUUCUCUGACGUUAGCGGCGGACGGGUGAGUAACACGUGGAUAACCUACCUAUAAGACUGGGAUAACUUCGGGAAACCGGAGCUAAUACCGGAUGAUAUUUUGAACCGCAUGGUUCAAUAGUGAAAGACGGUCUUGCUGUCACUUAUAGAUGGAUCCGCGCUGCAUUAGCUAGUUGGUAAGGUAACGGCUUACCAAGGCAACGAUGCAUAGCCGACCUGAGAGGGUGAUCGGCCACAAUGGAACUGAGACACGGUCCAGACUCCUACGGGAGGCAGCAGUAGGGAAUCUUCCGCAAUGGGCGAAAGCCUGACGGAGCAACGCCGCGUGAGUGAUGAAGGUCUUCGGAUCGUAAAACUCUGUUAUUAGGGAAGAACAUAUGUGUAAGUAACUGUGCACAUCUUGACGGUACCUAAUCAGAAAGCCACGGCUAACUACGUG